GCGGACGUAGUCAAGUGGACCAAGGUUGUGGAUUGUGAAUCCACCAUGCACGGUUUCAAUUCCCAUCGUUCGCC
Picea glauca (white spruce) is the source of this 74-nucleotide non-coding RNA. NCBI's taxonomy places the organism in Eukaryota, Viridiplantae, Streptophyta, Pinopsida, Pinales, Pinaceae. The record is from Rfam.